AGUUAUACAUGUCGUGGUAUUUUAUUCAACUAACACAAAUAUUGGAACAAAGUCAAGCAUAAUAUUUAUACCUUAAAGAAACACCAAUAUCAUUCAAUCAUGUGAAAUUUUCAGUACUACAUCAAGCAAGUUGAGAAGGCAUUUUUGUCGAGGUCUGUAAUUCAACACAUACAAGAAACUUGUUGUUUUUAUUACAAAAGGGUGGUUCAUGCAACAAUUCAAUAUGAAGGUAAUAUCGGACACACUGCUAAUUUGGAGAAGAACAUAAUAUAGAAGAUAUGACAGAUCUUUCUACAAGUCAACUUCAAGUAAAACUUUUGAUCAACUAGUACCGAAGAUUAUUUGGUUUUUCAUCUCUAUAUAAUUGUCUUUAUGAGGGGGAGACACAAAUAUGCACUGCACUCUUUUUCCCUUCACCAUGGUUUUAUCCCACUGGGUUUUCCUGGUAAGGUUUUUAAUGAGGCAGUUCACACACAAAUGAUGAUGUACUCUUUUUCCUUCACUAGGUUUUUUUUUAGAGAAAGAAUAACCUUCAUGGACAUUCAAGGGGGAGUGUUAUGAAUAAUAUGUAAUGAAUGUCCAUUAUUGUAUAGGUUUUCUUGUCCCUUAAUUGUGUCCUAUAAAUAAGACCCCUUUGUUACAAUGUAAAGCACACUUGUGAAUAGAAUAAUAACAAUGGUCUAUUGCUUUCUCUUCUCUCUUUCUCUUCUCCUUCUAUAUUCUUGCUAUUCUUUAGAAAUAGUUCAUAACAAUAUAAUUAUUUUGUACUAAUAAGCGUAUAAUUAUAUUGGUGAUGUGAUUACAAUCAACUAGGUGUGAUUUUGUGAUUGAAAUGAAAUCACUUAUAUAUGGUUUGAUAUAAAUCUUACAGAAUGUGAAUUUCAAUCUUAAUUAUCUUUUUAGAUACACAAAGAUGUAUGAGUUGUAAGAUGCAUGAGAGCUUAUGAAUGGACGAACUCUUCUUUAUCUCAUUUGUUUUCUAGCUUUGAUGAUAUUCUAAAAUGUGUCUCUCAAGCCUUUGUAUUACCUUUAAAUGAUGGCUUAUUAAUAGUACUUUACAGAGUAAUCUUCCAACUAGUUUUUUACCUAUAUAUAGGAGUUAAGAUCAAGAACUAGAAGUUGAAACUUAUUUAUACUACAACAAAAUUGCUUUGGAGCGUCGGCUUAAAAAUCAAAAUACCAAAAUAAAAGACGCUACAUUAGUGUUAUUAGUAUCGAUUUAUAGUCUGUGUUGUGGCGGACGCUACAAUGUUAUUUGUGAUGGAAUUGAAUGAUAUCAUGUAAUUAUGAAGUAUACGACCAGCAUAAGGAUCUACAACAUUCAAGUACUCAUCAAUAUUCUCAUACAGGGUAAUAACCUCAAAUUGCAAACAAAAGAAAUAAAAAAAUUCAAAAAUUGAAAUUAUGCUCAAAUCUAGAAGAAGAAAAAAACAACCACGCACAAUCAUUUAUUCAAACUAUUUUAACCCUCUUCGUUUUCUCAUAAACUAAACAGAAUAUUAAAUAGAAAAUAUGGGAACAUGAUCAUGAAGCAUGAUAUAUAUA
This 1545-nucleotide long non-coding RNA is filed under the name Trifolium pratense (red clover). RNAcentral describes it as "long non-coding RNA (TPRA_LNC005276)". The record is from RNAcentral. Lineage: Eukaryota; Viridiplantae; Streptophyta; Magnoliopsida; Fabales; Fabaceae.